Molecule: ribosomal RNA, 340 nt
Filed under: uncultured Bacteroidota bacterium
Lineage: Bacteria; Pseudomonadati; Bacteroidota
Description: uncultured Bacteroidetes bacterium partial 16S ribosomal RNA
Rfam family: Bacterial small subunit ribosomal RNA
Source: RNAcentral
GAUUUUGUCCUGGCUCAUGAUGAAGCUAACGGCAGGCCUAAUACAUGCAUGCGACGGGGAAACAAUGUCACCGUCGUACGGUUGCGUAACGUGUAUGCAUUCUCCCAACCACUGGGGGAUAGCCCGGGGAAACCCGGAUUAAUUCCGCAUGACACAGGGGGCCCGCAUGGGUCUAUUUGUUAAAGAUUUAUCGGUGGUGGAUGGGCAUGCCUUCUAUUAGCUAGUUGGGGGGGUAACGGCCCACCAAGGCGACUAUCGAUAGGGGAGCUGAGAGGUCGAUCCCCCCACACGGCCACUGAGAUACGGGCCCCCACUCCUACCGGAGGCACAAUUAGGGAAU